AUGCAAGUCGAGCGAACGGACAAGGAGCUUGCUCCUUUGAAGUUAGCGGCGGACGGGUGAGUAACACGUGGGUAACCUACCUAUAAGACUGGAAUAACUCCGGGAAACCGGGGCUAAUGCCGGAUAACAUGUUGAACCGCAUGGUUCAACAGUGAAAGACGGUCUUGCUGUCACUUAUAGAUGGACCCGCGCCGUAUUAGCUAGUUGGUGGGGUAACGGCCUACCAAGGCGACGAUACGUAGCCGACCUGAGAGGGUGAUCGGCCACACUGGAACUGAGACACGGUCCAGACUCCUACGGGAGGCAGCAGUAGGGAAUCUUCCGCAAUGGGCGAAAGCCUGACGGAGCAACGCCGCGUGAGUGAUGAAGGUCUUCGGAUCGUAAAGCUCUGUUGUUAGGGAAGAACAAAUGUGUAAGUAACUGUGCACGUCUUGACGGUACCUAACCAGAA
This 451-nucleotide ribosomal RNA is filed under the name Staphylococcus coagulans. RNAcentral's name for it is "bacterial SSU rRNA". It matches the Rfam family "Bacterial small subunit ribosomal RNA", at positions 55 to 488 of the family's 1533-position model. Lineage: Bacteria; Bacillati; Bacillota; Bacilli; Caryophanales; Staphylococcaceae. The record is from RNAcentral.